GAGUUUGAUCCUGGCUCAGGACGAACGCUGGCGGCGUGCCUAACACAUGCAAGUCGAGCGAGAGACUUCGGUCUCUAGCGGCGGACGGGUGAGUAACACGUGGGUAACCUGCCUCGUAGUGGGGGAUAGCCUUCCGAAAGGAAGAUUAAUACCGCAUAACAUCAAAUUGCCGCAUGGUAGUUUGAUCAAAGGAGUAAUCCGCUAUGAGAUGGACCCGCGGCGCAUUAGCUAGUUGGUGAGGUAACGGCUCACCAAGGCGACGAUGCGUAGCCGACCUGAGAGGGUGAUCGGCCACAUUGGAACUGAGAUAC
This 311-nucleotide ribosomal RNA is filed under the name uncultured low G+C Gram-positive bacterium 208ev. RNAcentral's name for it is "bacterial SSU rRNA". It matches the Rfam family "Bacterial small subunit ribosomal RNA", at positions 9 to 327 of the family's 1533-position model. The record is from RNAcentral. Lineage: Bacteria; Bacillati; Bacillota.